UGUUUGUGUGCGUUUGUGUGUGUGUACUAAUGCAUGUACAUCUGUUCACUUGUUCAUGGUACAUCUUUAACAAUGAUGGAAACCAUCUUUAAUGGGAAAGUUCUCUGCCCUCUCUGGUUUGUACCACUUUGCAUCCAUCAAACAUCUCAUGUCCACCUUGCUCCCUAGAAUAAAAGGACACAAGAACUACUCUAAACUCAAAGGUUUGCAGAUGUUUGAAGAGGCACAAAUAUUUAUCUGCAAAGAAAUCCUUUGGGAGGAACCAGAGGAGUGGAGUACAUGAGGGUGAAUUGGAGGCUGCUGAGGCCAAUCAAGAUGCAUGAGAGUCAGGAAAGGCUGGCUGAGGGAUUGCGUCUCUUCUUGGCUGGUUGAAUGGUAACUGCCCACUGGAUAAUCAGGAGUCAUGUGAGAUCCAGGUGGAAACAGCUUGCAAGGAGGAAAGCCCAGUGCAAAUGUCAAGAAUAGCACAGGAUGGAGUGGAGGAAAAGCUGCAAUCUCUGUUGAAGCAGAGGGAGCUGUCCGCCAAGCCAAAGGACUUGGCGGAAAACUGCAGCAUCACCUAGAUGUCUCCCUGAUGAGCCCAGGCUUGGAGGAAGUUUUAGAACAAAGUGGAUCCUGUACCUGGGAAAUCUGUCUUUUGUGGGCUUCUGCUCAUUGGCAAGGCUCCCAGCCACAGCCAGAGAAAGAAAACAUUAGGAGUAUUGUGCUGGUCUAUUCGACAAGAACAUUUGGGCAAAACUUUUGUUUGUUGCUGCCGAGGCCACUCAUUCCGAAGUUGACUGUGGAGGAUACUGAACACCAACAAAUGUUAAACCACCACCAAAAAGUGGUGAGCCCCAGACAACCUGCAUCUGCCACCCCCGCCUCCAAGUACCAUCAUCCUUGCAAGAUGCCAGGUAGCAGGAUAGUCCCAGACUGGAGGCUACAGUAGCCAUGCCAGCAUGACUUCAAGGCUGGCCAAAUCCAAAGAACAGCAAAAUUCUGGAAAGACUCAAUUUAUUUCUAAAAAUCCUGACAACAAAGGGGACCGUGUAUCUCCAGUAACAGGAAAUGUCCCCCACCUGUGGUUUUCUCUUCAUGGUACUUGGAAAAUACCAGCAGGAAGAGGGCAAAUGUGCUCCAGGGAAGAACAGAAAACCAAACUGGAAUAUAAUCCACCUAUGGGUCCCAAGGAAACCAGCUCUGUAAACCCUUGCAAGAACCCCAGAGGCCCAAGGCUGCCUGACACUCCCCUGAUGCUUUUUUGUCAAAGAUGAGUGGGGAGUUUUUGAAUCCUUGGGGAAGCCUGGUCCAAGUCAGUUGUUCAUUGUAUCCCUUUACAGUGUCAUGCCAUUAAAAGGCAAACAAGGAUUGGCUCUUUGGGGCUAAGUGCAGGCUGAAGAAAACAUUUUUGAUAGCCAAUACCAUAUACCAAGCCUGGGUAGGAGAAAGUGAGCACAAAAGGGUAUAUGGAUUCAGCACAGUCAGGUGAACAUCCAUAACCCUGCAAUUGAUCUCCCUAAGGUCUGACAUGGGCUAGUAAUCAUUUGAGUUCGGCUUUUUAACAGGGAGCAGCUAAGUAUUCCAGGCUGACCAGUAAGGGACCAGAGUUCCUAGUUCCAUGAGGCACCUGAUGUGAGGGAUGAUUCCCUCCUUUGCCUCCAGGGACACGGGAAUACAUGUUGGACCCAUGGGGUGGUGCCCAAACCCAUCUCCACAGGACAGAUGUGUAAAGUCGGUGAAGAAUGAAGAGUCUGACCGCCAGUUGUCUUUCAAACUGAUGGCCCCGACUAGCUCAGGCUGUCUUUACUUAUACAAGUUCUAAUGCAUUCAAACAUGAACAGUUUCAAAUCAUUUCUCUUUAAUCAUUUUCCAAGUAUCACUAACAUUUCAGUUUCUCUUUUACACUCUUUUGACGUCAUUAACAUUUACCCCAUAUCAUUAUAAUGUAAGCCAAAUGUUUAUAUUUAAAAGAUUUUAAUUGAUUGAGGAACUUGUCAGAACUGAUAAACAAGGAGAGGAGGUACAGGCCAAAGACAAUAGUAAAGAUUUAGCAUCACCAGUACCUCUUAGAGAUGACUUACCAAGUGUUUUAACUACUUAUCCUGUUUUAGCUACUUAACCUCUGAAAAGCCGGCAAAUACUCAAUACCCAAAAAGAUAUACAGAAUGUAAAUGGAAACCUAUAUGUAUGAAAGAUCUAAAAGAUAUUAAGCAGGCAAUAGUAUCUUAUGGCAUCCAUUCACCAUGUGAGAGAGAUGGUAAAGACAUGGACUUCAAGAAAUAAGGUUAGUCCACAUGAUUAGCUUCAACUAGUCUCACCUGUAUUUAGAUCAUGGUUCACAGAUUCAGUGGAAGAGUUUUUGGAGAAAAAAAAGCUAAGGCCCUUGAAUAUCAAGGUAGAGUCAGAGGUUUUGAGGCCUCCCAAGAUCAAAUUCUUGGUGAGGGCCCUUAUACUGCUAUCAAUAGACAAGUUAUAUACAAUGAACACAUCUUGUCCAUAUGCCAUACAGCAGCAGCCUUGAAUGCUUGGGACAUGAUCCAUGAACCAGGAAAAAUAAUUGAAUCAUAUAUUAAGAUUAUUCAAAGCCCAAAAGAACCCUUUAGUGACUUUUUACAUAGAUUAACUAAAGCUGUACAAAUAGGGAUAGCAGAUCUAGAAGCUAGGUGAGUAUUCAUUGCAGCUCUUCCUUUUGAAAUGCUAAUUUAGAUACUUGGGCCCUUAAAGGUCAGAUCAGCAUCAAUGGGUGAAUGGAUCCUACACAAAGCCAAUAUUGAGUCCUAUGACAAUAACACUGAGGCUUGGGUAGGAGAAGUGAUUUCCAAAGGUAUGAAAGGCAUCAAAAUACCAAAUGAUUUAAUUGUGAUAGAAUAGGCCAUCUGAGAAGGGAUUGUAGGCAGGGCAUUCCUAGAAAUUAUAUUUCUUCUGUGAAUCACCCAAAUAGAAGGCCCCCAAACUUCUGGGUUAUGCAGAAGAUGCAGCAAAGGCUGACAUUUGAGUGUAGAGCAAAAAGAGAAAAACAAAGCAAGCCAUUACCAUUGGGAAAUUUCUUGAAGGGUCUAUCGCAGGUCCCCAGAUCAAACAUGUUCCAGUCAUUCCCAGUCACUCUGGAGGACAUGCUUCACCAGGAAAAUCAGAAAAUCCAAUGUCUGUUAUAAAAAGAAAUGUACUGCUCUGAAUGAUAGAAUAACCAUGGAGGAUGAAUCAAAAAUUCAAACAGAAAAUAGAAAACAUAUUUUGGCUGACUUCUAUAAAUGAUCAAACACCAAAGUUGAGAGUAAAUAACAUUAUAAUGAAAGGAUUAUUAGACACAGGUGCAAAUGUGACUAUUAUUACUCCAGAAUCAAGGCAUCUGAAUUGGCCUCCUCAGGAGGCAGAUGUUCAGUUCUUAUUGGAAUUGGAACCCUUUCUCAGGUAAAAACAAAGCACGAGAUGAGUUGAAUUCAUAGAGCCAGAAGGACAGAGAGGCCAUAUGUGACUAAAAUAGCAGUGAGUCUAUGGGUUGUGAUAGUUGCAACAAUGGAAUACCCAGGUUAACAUUCCUGCAGUCUCAGAAAUGGACCAUAAACCAACACAUGUUUCUUGGAAGGAUAUUACAAGGUACUGUAAAAAAAAACAGUCACCAACCAUUCAGGCUAUACAAAAACAUAGAACAACUAGAAAAUUUUCAGAGGUACCGAAGUCCAUACUUUUAAAAUCAUUAACUAAGAAACUUGUAUGUGUUAAAAAAAAUGGCCUUUAACAAUAGGAAAUCUGCAGGCUUUAGAAUCGCUGGUACAAGAACAACUAGAUGCUCAGCAUAUUGAAGAUUGAACCAAUCCUUAGAAUUCUCCUGUAUUUGUUGUUAAAAAGAAAUCUGGGAAAUGGAGAAUUGUAAUAGAUCUAAGAGCUAUUAAUAAGGUGAUUCAUCCAAUGGACCCUAUAAAGUCUGGAAUUCCUUUUCAUUGUCUAUUGCCCAAAGGAUGGCCUUCUCUAGUUAUUGAUUUAAAAGGCUGCUUCUUCACUAUACCUUUAUAUGAAAAGGACAAAGAAAAAUUUGCCUUCUUAUAACAACUUAUAACAAUUCUCAGCCUGCUAAAACAUGUCAAUUAAAGAUUCUCUCACAGGGAAUGCUAAAUAGGCCCAUCCUGUGCCAAUAUUUUGUGAGUCAGCCUUUGGAAAGGACACAUAAACAAUUUCAUGAAUCUAUAGUUUACCAUUACAUGGACGACAUUUUGCUAUCUGAUUUAAAUGUAGAUACUUUAGAAAGAAUGUUUGAAGAAGUAAAGAAAGUUUUGCUUCUUUGGGUGUUACAAAUAGCUCCUGAAAAUAUACAAAGAGGAGAUUCUAUUAAUUAUUUAGGUUAUAAAAGGUUUUCAGAA
Long non-coding RNA from Microtus ochrogaster (prairie vole), 4340 nucleotides. RefSeq lists it as uncharacterized. The transcript has 4 exons. Lineage: Eukaryota; Metazoa; Chordata; Mammalia; Rodentia; Cricetidae. The record is from RefSeq and is a predicted model, not a curated record.